Molecule: ribosomal RNA, 1486 nt
Filed under: uncultured Desulfobulbus sp.
Lineage: Bacteria; Pseudomonadati; Thermodesulfobacteriota; Desulfobulbia; Desulfobulbales; Desulfobulbaceae
Description: bacterial SSU rRNA
Rfam family: Bacterial small subunit ribosomal RNA
Source: RNAcentral
ACUUGAAUCGCGGCGGCACGCUAUAACACAUUUAAGUCGAACGCGAUGGUUCUUCGGUAAACCUAGUAGAGUGGCGCACGGGUGAGUAACGCGUAGAUAACCUACCAUUAUGUCGGGAUAACCCACCGAAAGGUGGACUAAUACCGGAUGUGCUUAUUUAUCAUAAGAGUAAUAAGUAAUAGGUGGCCUCUGAUUUAAGCUACCGCAUGAGGAGGGGUCUGCGUACCAUUAGCUUGUUGGUGGGGUAAUGGCCUACCAAGGCAACGAUGGUUAGCGACUCUGAGAGUGAUGAUCCGUCACACUGGCACUGAAACACGGGCCAGACUGUUACGGAGGCAGCAGUGAGGAAUAUUGCGCAAUGGGGGAAACCCUGACGCAGCGACGACGCGUGAGUGAGGAAGGCCUUCGGGUCGUAAAGCUCUGUCAAGAGGGAAGAGCUGCAUAUUGGUUAAUACCCGUUAUGUACUUAGGUACCUCUAAGAAGCACCGGCUAACUCCGUGCCAGCAGCCGCGGUAAGUGGGAACGUGCAAGCGUUGUUCGGAAUCACUGGGCGUAACUGAUUCGCAGGCGGCCUGUUAAGUCAGAUGUGAAAGACCACGGCUCAACCGUGGAAGUGCAUGCCAAACUGGCAGUGCUUGAGUAUCAGAGUAGAAAGUGGAAUUCCUGGUGUAGAGGUGAAAUUCGUAGAUAUCAGGAGGAAUACCGGUGGCGAAGUGCGACUUAGUGGCUGAAUACUGACGCUGAGGCAGCGACAGCGUGGGAGCAAACAGGAUUAGAUACCCUGGUAGUCCACGCCGUAAACGAUGUCAACUAGAUGUAGGGGGUGUUGAUCCGCCUCUGUGUCGCAGCUAACGCAUUAAGUUGACCGCCUGGGGAGUACGGUCGCAAGAUUAAGACUCAACGGAAUUGACGGCGGAUCCGCACAAGCGGUGGAGUAUGUGGUUUAAUUCGAUGCAACGCGAAGAACCUUACCUGGUCUUGACAUCCCGAGUGAAUUACCUGGAAACAGGACUGACCCUUCAUUAGAAGCCACUUGGUGACAAGAUGCUGCAUGCUGUCGUCAGGCUCGUGUCGUGAGAUGUUGGGUUAAGUCCCGCAACGAGCGCAUACCCUAGCUUUAGUUGCCAGCAGUUCGGCUGGGCACUCUAAGGGACUGCCGGUGUCAAACCGUAGAAGUGGCCAUGACGUCAAGUCCUCAUGGCCUUUAUGACCAGGGCUACACACGUACUACAAUGGCCGGUACAAUCGGCAGCGACAGGCGCGACCUGAAGCGAAUCCCGUACGACCGGUCUCAGUCCGGAUUGGAGUCUGCAACUCGACUCCAUGAAGUCGGAAUCGCUAGAGAUCGUGGAUCAGCAUGCCACGGUGAAUGUGUUCCCGGGCCUUGUACACACCGCCCGUCACACCACGGAGUCGGUUGUACCAGAAGUAGUUGACCUAACCUUCGGCGAACGGAGGCUACCACUUAUGGCAUUGUAACUGGGA